RNAcentral lists this ribosomal RNA (253 nucleotides) under uncultured bacterium. RNAcentral's name for it is "partial 16S ribosomal RNA". It matches the Rfam family "Bacterial small subunit ribosomal RNA", at positions 524 to 776 of the family's 1533-position model. The record is from RNAcentral.
UACGUAGGGAGCAAGCGUUGUCCGGAAUCAUUGGGCGUAAAGCGCGCGUAGGCGGCUCUGUAAGUCCGUUGUGAAAGUCAAAGGCUCAACCUUUGAAAGCCGAUGGAUACUGCAGAGCUAGAGUCCGGAAGAGGCGAGUGGAAUUCCUGGUGUAGCGGUGGAAUGCGCAGAUAUCAGGAGGAACACCAAUAGCGAAGGCAGCUCGCUGGGACGGUACUGACGCUAAGGCGCGAAAGCGUGGGGAGCGAACAGG